This 1133-nucleotide long non-coding RNA is filed under the name Castor canadensis (American beaver). RNAcentral's name for it is "lncRNA (ENSCCNG00000008150.1)". The record is from RNAcentral. Lineage: Eukaryota; Metazoa; Chordata; Mammalia; Rodentia; Castoridae.
GGUGAGAGAGAAGCAUUUUCCAUAAAACAAUGUACUAGUGACAUAAGGCAAUUACAUGGUCACUGGGACACACCACACGGUAUACUGGAGAAAUCUCAUGAUACCUAUGUGAUAACUAUAAUAACUCUAGUUAUUGCUACCAUAUUAUCUACUGAUGGCUAUAUAAUUAGUUUGUGUCAUCAAAGCACCCUAAAUGUAUGCCUGCUCCAGCUACUCAGUAGGAAAAAAAAAAAAAAAAACUUUUUUGCAAGGGGGAAAAAAAAGCUAAUGAAGAAAGUUGCCAAGAACAGAUAUUUUGUAAUCUGUGCUAAAUCUCUGCUGGAAAACAUGAACAGUAACGAAGCUGAGAAGACAGUAAAAGAAAUUCGGGGCAAGGUGCCAGACGCCCAGACGGAAGGAGAAUGUGGACCAAAAGAUUGCGACAAUCGGUUCCUUGACCAUCAGUCUGUUGCCUGCCCCCUCUUUUUAUGUAAGUAAAACUGGUUUCUUUAUCUUUAAAAAAAAAAAAGUGGGCUUUAUUGGCAUAUUUUCUACUUUACUUUGUGUUUCUAGUGCUUCUUUGGUGUGCAUUUAAUUUUUUCGCUUUGUGUGUGUGUGUGUUUGGAGUCAAUAUUGUUGGUGGUAUGUGAGCUGCUGCCUACUGGUCUCCAAGGGGGUGUGUCUUCUGCUCACAGUGGGCAUGGGCAGAAGGAAAGGAAGCAGGGUUUCCCUGAAAAGGAACGCAUUUAAAAAUAAUGUUUAAGUGGCAAGUUGCCAUCUAUGAGGGAGCUGAAAAGAGCAGUGGCCCAGCCACUGAACUUCUGUAAAGACUGCCCUUUACUUUGCCACAGCUGCUAUUUGCUGAAAUCCCUGCUCUUCUAAACUGGGGCUUACAUUCUGCAGCCAGAUAUCAGCAACAAUUGGGCUUUUGCUCUGCUGUCAAUCAAUGGGCAAUUAUUUAUUCUUCAGUUAUUCACCCAUCCCUAGGUCCAACAGUUUUUAAUUUUAACUUCUAGAUCAGAGCUUUCAUUUAUUGACAAAAUUUAUAAUAUCCUUUUACUAAGAAGUACAAGACUGAAAAGUAAAUAGGCCAAAAUUUUGUGCAAAAUUAUAAAGUCUAGUAGAAAAAAAAAUAAAAAGAAAUCCAGGACUCA